GAUAUUACUCUAGGUGAAAUAUUAUUUUUUCAAUUUCAAAGGGCAAAAGAUCUCUCUCCUCCCUAAAAUCUCUAUGGAUACAUUAGUUUAGGGUUUUUGGCUUCAAUACUACGUACUGACGAAUCUCCACCCUACUUUGGGUAGUGUUUUUGUUUUCAAACUAUUGUCUCAAAAGAAGAAUUCUCGUUUCCCCUUUCUCUUAGGUACUAUUUUGCACCUUCUCACCUUCCUCGUUCCGGCUGAUUGAAGAAAUAAAUAAAACUAGAGAAACGGGAAUUCUUUCAAUCUCAGGUGACACUAUUGUUGUUACAAGAAAAUUAGUGCCGACAAGGUGGUAAUGUCUAUUGGGAAUAUAUUGUUCCUGCAACUUCUCAGCAGUCUUAUAAAUGGCCUGAAACUGGAUUCAUUUCACAAAAUGCAUUGAUGAGUUCUGUAGUUUUGCGCAGGUGGUGCACAUAGAAGAUAUUGGACUAACCAAUUUUAAGGAACCAAGAGAUAUUGAACAGGUAUCAUUGUUCCAUUUUAUGUUGAUGUUUGAGAUAACAACAGGCUUAGUGAUUUGAACCUUUGUCAAAAGGAUGUUUAAUAAGGUCAAAUAGAUACUUUCUGUUGGAUGUCUGUUGGUAGAAGAGGAUAAAGAGGAUUCUAUGAUCUGGAAAGCGAACAAUGAAUUGAAGUUCUCUGUUAAAAGCUGCUAUAACCUUCUUCUGAACAAUCUGAACAUCUCUAGAGUCAGGAACCUUUGUAUGCAAAAUCUGUUUUUUUGGUGUAAAAGGAGUAUUCUAGAGAGUAUUGAUCAGUAUAUGGAAUUUUUAGACUCACUUGGAAAUAUGUAACCAGAGAUUGCUGUAGGGUCUGUCUUGUUUUGUUGUAAUUUGAGUACCUUCUUGGUACCUUUAUUAAUAAAUUUUAUCUUAUCAAAAAAAGAAAAGAAAAUAUGCUACACAUUUUUUUUAAAGAGAGGAAUGAUGGCAUUUCAUUUAGAAGGACAAUAUGGAGUUUUGAGUGUGAUUUCUAUACUGUGCAAGUAAUUGAAAUUUAGUAUUGUAGUACUAGCUAUCUUUAGAGUUAAUUGUAUUCAAGAUAUGUCCAUGUUAAUUUUGUUUAGCUACUUGCUUCGUUAGUGGAGAAGAAACUUCAUUCCAUUUGGGGUAAAGGUGAUGUUGAGCAGCUAUAUUAUCUCUGUUAAUGUGAUACAUUUUGCUUCUCCUGUAUGAGCAACUAUUAUCUCUGCUAAUAUAAUAAAUACAUCUUGCUUCUGCUUAAUUUCGUUUAGCUACUUACUUGAUUAGUAGAGAAGGAACUUCGUUCUUUUGGAGUAAAGUCGAUGUUUGAGUAGCUAUAUAUUUUCUGCUAAUGUGAUAUGUUUCACUCUCCUAUUUGAGCAGCUAUUAUCUCUGCUAAUGUGAUACAUUUUGUUUCUGUUAAAUUUUUUUAGCUACUUGCUUGAUUAGUGGAGAAGGAACUUUAUUCUUUUUAGGGUAAAGUUGAUAUUUCAGCAGCUAUAUAAUCUCUGCUAAUUUAAUACAUCUUGCUUCUGCUUAAUUUUGUUUAUCUACUUACUUGAUUAGUGGAGAAUAAACUUCGUUCUUUUUGGGGUAACUAUUCCUUUCACACUGCUGGCAAAUUCAACCAUUUCCCAGCUUGAAUCUCGUUCAAUCCAUAAACACGUGCAAUUCCAUCGACCUUCUAAUAGACUUGUUGAUGUUUGAGCAGCUACAUUUUUUUUGCUAAUGCGAUACAUUUCA
Non-coding RNA from Nicotiana tabacum (common tobacco), 1748 nucleotides. The record is from RefSeq and is a predicted model, not a curated record. NCBI's taxonomy places the organism in Eukaryota, Viridiplantae, Streptophyta, Magnoliopsida, Solanales, Solanaceae.